Long non-coding RNA from Oryzias melastigma (Indian medaka), 328 nucleotides. RefSeq lists it as uncharacterized. NCBI's taxonomy places the organism in Eukaryota, Metazoa, Chordata, Actinopteri, Beloniformes, Adrianichthyidae. The transcript has 3 exons. The record is from RefSeq and is a predicted model, not a curated record.
GGCAACUGAAUUGACUUAAUUUAGUUGGAGUCAGAAGUGUUUGUAAUACUGAGGUCAACUCAUGAUAUCAUUAAAGCCUAAAAUGAAAUCUCUGCAGGGAUAAAAGUAAGAAGCAGCAAGCAGCAUCUCCUAAGGUUUGAGUCAGGCGACGGCAGCAAGACCCCGCCUUUUAACGUGCCGCCGCCUGCUGAACGCUUCCAAAGCCUGAUGGAACAAUUAACUCCGUCCUUCAUCAAAAGGAACAAAAUUCAAGGGAGACUCAUUAUUUCAAGGUAAAAGACUUCCAGUGAACAUUUAUGGGUGUCGGGUCUGCCCUUGGUGAAUGCCA